CACAGGAAAUAUUAGAUAUGCGUAUAAGGAUUUUGUCUACUCUCGAAUUAGAAACCCAAAGACGGUGCUAAGGUAAAGGCGUCUUGCUGUAAACCGCGCUCAUCUCACCGACUCCCAAGAUCGAUCGGCCUAGGGUUUGCUCUCUCAUCCAUCCCAAAUUCGAAGCUUCUCUAAUGGAGACAACCAAUUUUCACGAUAGCAACCUCUAUAAUUUCGUUGACGGCAGAAGCAUCGAUUUUCGCCAUGAUGUUAGUCGCAGUUUGCAAAUGCACUCAUCACUGUUACGACGGCUCACCCAGGAGGGAGAAUUGGAGGGGCACCAGGGUUGUGUGAACACUGUGGCCUGGAACUCAAGAGGCUCACUUUUGAUAUCUGGAUCUGAUGACACAAGGAUUAAUAUUUGGAACUAUCCAAGCCGCAAGCUUUUGCAUUGCAUAGAGACUGGGCAUUCUGCUAAUAUAUUCUGCGCAAAAUUUAUCCCUGAAACUUCUGAUGAGCUUGUCGCCUCUGGAGCCGGAGAUGCAGAAGUUCGGCUGUUUCAUUUGUCUCGCUUAAGUGGGAGAGGACCAGAUGAGAAUGCUAUUACCCCAUCUGCACUGUUUCAGUGUCACACUAGGAGAGUAAAAAAAUUAGCUGUGGAAGUUGGAAACCCUAAUGUGGUAUGGAGUGCAAGUGAAGAUGGAACCUUGAGGCAGCAUGACUUUCGGGAGGGUGCUUCCUGUCCCCCAGCUGGGUCUUCUCACCAAGAGUGUCGGAAUGUUCUGCUUGACUUACGGUGUGGAGCAAAGAAAUCGCUAGCUGAUCCUCCCAAACAAUGCCUUAGUUUAAAAUCAUGUGAUAUCAGUUCCACUAGGCCUCAUUUGCUCCUUGUUGGUGGCAGUGAUGCAUUUGCUCGUUUAUAUGAUAGAAGGAUGCUGCCGCCACUGACAUCCUGCGGGAAAACGAUGACACCACCUCCUUGUGUUAACUAUUUCUGCCCAAUGCAUCUUUCUGAUCAUGGCCGGUCAAGCUUGCACCUUACCCAUGUUACAUUUAGUCCAAAUGGAGAAGAGGUUCUCAUUAGUUAUAGUGCAGAGCAUGUUUACUUAAUGGAUGUAAAUCAUGCCUGUGGAAGCACCGUGUGUUACGCUCCAGGAGAUGCUUUAAAGCUAAUGAACCCUAGUCCUAUACUGGAUGGGAUAGGAUUUGGAUCACCAGUGUCUGAUGCAUUCACAUAUGAUUUUUCCAUGAAAAGCAAUAUUGCUGCUAAGCUUGACAAGUGCAGGAAACUGGUUCAAUUUGCAGAAAGAUGCUUAAAGGAGGGGACAGAUUAUUUCUAUGGAAUUGAGGCUUGUAAUGAAGUUUUGGAUGGACAUCCUCAUGAGAUUGGGCCUACACUAAAGCAUGAUUGCUUGUGUACACGUGCUGCGUUACUCCUCAAGCGGAAGUGGAAAAAUGAUGCUCAUAUGGCUAUAAGAGAUUGCAAUAGAGCUCGGAGAAUUGACACUUCUUCUUUUAAGGCACUCUUCUACAUGUCUGAAGCUUUAUUGCAGCUGAACAAACAUAAAGAAGCUCUGGAAUUUGCUGUUGCAUCUCAAUGUUUGGCCCCUUAUGAUUCUGAAGUGGCAGAAAGAGUGGAGGAUAUAAAAAAGCAUCUUGCUGCAGCCGAAGCUGAGAAAAGUAACAAGUCAAAUGAUGGAGUACCUAGGUCUGAAACUAGAUCUGGAAGAUUUCUAUCAUUGAGUGAAAUACUCUACAGAUCAGAGGCAAAUAGUGAUGCUUCACAAGACGGGCCAAGAUCUGAAAGAGAAGAUUCUGAUUAUGAUGAGGAAUUAGAGUUGGACUUUGAAACAUCGGUAUCAGGUGAUGAAGGACGAGAUGUUGAAUCUAACAUUCUUCAUGGAAGUUUAAACUUGAGAAUUCAUCGAAGAUGUGAUUCAGCUAGAGAAACAAGUGGUACAAAUGGUGCAUGUGGAUCUCCUACAUCAUCAAGAAAUGAUAAAACAACUUACCAGCCUGAGACAGCGAUUGACAUGAAACAGAGAUAUGUUGGUCACUGCAAUAUAGGAACUGAUAUAAAACAGGCUAGUUUUCUUGGCUGUAGAGGUACAUUUUUUUCUUUAGUCUUUUAUUAAUUAAUUAAUUCAUCUUCUUUAUUGACCUUUUGUCUUCUAUAUUUUCUGAGCAUGAGGAUCAUGCCAAACAAAUGCAGUUUGCACUUUGUAGCACUUUUCAGUAUUUGACUAGUUUCAUAAAUCUAUAUUUCUUGCAUCCCUUUUAAUGUCAUAGGUGCUUUAAAAUCAACAUUUCUAUUUCCUUUUGUUAUGGUCUUUUUGUUGGAUGAGCUCCUAUGGAUGACUUUUACUUUGCCAUUUGCCAAUGAUUCCCUGUCAUCAAGGUGUUACAUUGCCAUGAGAAAGCAAUAUAGCUGAAAGAACCUUGGGGCCUCUGACCAAUUAGAUGCUCAUAUAGGCAUUCCAUGUAUUCCGACAACUUAGAUUUGUUAUGGUUGUUGCUGUUGGUAUUAUGUACUCCAAUAUCGUUGUAUCUGUCAUGAUUGUUGUGUGCUGCACACUCGGUAGGUUUGAAGGCUCAGGCCUCACUUGUUUUAGGUGUGUCGGGAAGCAGAAGAAGACUUAGCCGCAGGUUAUCGACUGAACAUUUGGGUAUUAAAUUUGGUUUAUUUUAUGUUGCUUCUUAUUUAAAUCGAUUAAGCAAAAGCAUCUAUUUCAUAAUAUGAGCAAUACCAAAUUCCUCUAGAGUCCAAACCUCCCUUUCCCCUGCCUGGUGGCCCCCUUGAUUGGCCCUUUCUCUAAAGGUGUUUUUGUAAAUGAGAAGUGUUUCAAUUGGUACAUGCAAGAAAUAGGCCAAGUCAGCACCUUUUCAUUCAAUUCUAUGGAAAAUUGGUGGACAGGUGAGUAAAACAUAAGAACCUUCCCUCAGGAGGGGAAAUAACAGCUGAAAUGACUACUAAUGCCCCAUUGGCCAAUGAGCAAAAGCAGGAAUGUGCUUGAGGAGUCCAAAAGAGGCUGACAAUAAUUUAUUUCAAAAUUGGCUGUUUUUUAUUUCCUCUGUGCUGUCAAGGAGAAUCUUACACAUAUACAUUUUAUCUAUGGUUUAAUUUUGGUGGUGUGGGCUAUAAGGUGGGGUGGCAUCCCAGGUGCUUUUGUGGGUACCUGUCAUGCUAUUUCAAGUAUAACCAAUCUGGUGGUGGCAAGAAGGAUUCUCUAGUUAUAGGGACCCAUGACCCUGUCUGCUUCUUUCUCCUCCUCUGUAAUUGUUGUUCCCUCUGUAUCAUGCUCUUGGUGGCUGGGGUUUUCAUAUACCUUCAUUCUUCUAGGGUCUCCUGUUUUAAUCUACAUUUUUAAUCUAUAAAUAGCAUAAUAUUAUUACACAAAAAGUGCAGUGAACCUGUUCACAUUAAUUACCAAACUAAAAGUCCUCAAGCUGAAAACUUAUAAUUGUCCCUAGAAACAGCCUGUUUUUCCUGCAUUGCUUGAUUGCUACCUUUCCUUGCACAAAUUAAUCCUAUUGUUCAAAGUUACAGGAGUCUAUGACUGCGACUGGACACAGUGUGGGCUUGAGCUUUCCUUUGCAUGCAGCCAAUGAUGCCUUCCAAAACCCAGUCAAGAGGAAACCGGGAUAAGCCAUCUCCAAUCCAAGCCUUGCUAGAAGCUUCAAACAUCUUUAUAUGCUAAUUAUUUGUCCUUUUAACAGAUUGAACUAUCUUACCUUUUUCAAUUCUGACUAUUGACAUCAAAUCCCAUGAUUAAUAUUUAUUUUCAAGCUUGAUAUUGGAUCAGAAAGCCUUGUGUUAUGACAAUAUAUCUGACCAUGGACACCUCUCCUCUACUAUGAAUUGGAGUUGUUGUUUUGAAAUUAGCCGCAGUCGUCUCUGCAGCAUCUGUUAUGUCUUCUUGUCUUGGAUGAGAGGUCUUUGCUUGAAACAUCUCAAACCACGGUAUUAUAUUUUGUAUCAAUUUUGAUUGUACAACUUCAGAUCCAAUUGGCAUAUGAGCAUAGGAUUCUGGUCACUAAGGUUGAGACUGUUAGUCUGGCAGAACAAAAGGGGGGAGGCUCACUCUCGUUAAAAGCACCUUCUCUAGCAUCCCUAUCUAUGGCAUGCCUUUGUUAGUGAUUCCAAGUAGGGUAAGUUUAAGGCUCGCAAAGGUACAAAGAGAUUUCUUGUUGGGUGGAGGAUCUCUAGAGAAAAAACCUCACCUAGUGAGUUGGGCUAAAGUGUGCUUGGAUAAGAAAAAAGGGGGCAUGGGCAUUAGGAAUCUUUCUAUCCUUAACAUGAUGCUUUUAGCUAAUUGGAGAUGGAGGUUUGCCUUCGAAAGGGAAUCUUUGUGGAAGCGGGUGAUUGUUGGGAAGUUUGGGGAGGAAGGAGAGGGUUGGAGUUCAGGGGUGUCCAGGGAGGGGUAUGGAGUCAGCUUUUGAAAGGCUAGCAGGAAAAAUUGGGAGGCUUUUAAAAGCAGAGUCUGCUUCCUUGUUGAGAAUGGGAGGAGAAUCAAGUUUUGGUUACAAGUGGUGUGGUGACACAUUGCUAAAAGUGCCUUUCCCCACCUUAUUUGCUAUUGCCAAUUCCAAGGAUGCGUUGGUAGUUGAUAUGUGGGAGCAGGAUGGGGACCUGUGUCGUUGGCAUCCUAGUUUCUCUAGACAGUUCCAUGAUUGGGAGGUAGAGAUGGUGGAGGCCUCUCUUUGGAAACCCAAAAACAUUCAGUUAAGUAUAAUGUUGAGGAUAAAAUGAUUUGAUCAGUUACAAGGAAUAGAAAGUUCUCUGUUAAAGCUUUCUACUCUUUUUUGGACUUUGGGGGGUGUAGAGGCCUUCCCAACCAAAGUUGUUUGAAACUUGUGGGUCCCAUUGAGGGUGGGUUGUUUUUACUUGGGAAGCUACUUGGGAGAGGAUCUUAACUUUAGAGGGAGGAGAAACCCAUUGAUCACUUGCUUCUGCAUUGUGUUAUUGUUGCUCUUCUCUAGCAGUUGGUUUUUUCCUUAGUUGGGUUACAAUGGGUGAUGCACUCUUGAGUCAGGAUGAUGUUGCUAAGCUGGAAUGGGGCAGGCUCAGCUAGGAAAAAGGCAGAAGAAGCUUGGUUAGCUGCCCCUUCAUGUCUUUUUUGGACCAUUUAGCCUGAAAGAAAUCGGAGGGCUUUUGAAGAUGCGGAUCUUUCGAAUCAUUUGCUAAAAUCAACUUUUCUGCUUUCUUUAUGGAUUAUGUUAUGCCUCAUUUAGAAGGAAAGUCCAUAUCUUUGAUGGAUUUUGUCGAUUGGUUAGGUGCUAAGUAAUUGUCGGGCAGGUGUUUUUUUCCCCUUUUUUGUCCUCUCCCCUCGCUUUUUUCACUUGGCCCCCUUUGAAUGCUCCUGGUGUACUUUGGCGAGUUUUAGCUAUUCUGCUUUGUACCACCCUUUUAGUUGUUAUAUAUAUCUAUUCUGGUUGCUUAUCAGAAAAAGAAAAAAAAAAUUGUUUUGAUGCUUUGAAUCACUUGAAAUCCAUAUAUAUCACAAUCUUUAUACAAGAAAGGAAUCAUCAACACCGGAAGCAAAAACAGAGAUUAUGUCUAUCUACUAGCAACAAAUGCCUCAUUGCUGAGAAUUCCUCUGUCCCAUGCACUCCCACUUAAUAACAAAAAUUGUUCUUCUCCAUUAAAUAACAGAAAAAUGUUUCUUCCCAGUAUUGCUUUUGUUCUCCAGGAUUGAACAGAUGGAAAGAAGGAUAUCAAUUAUAGUAUGCUAACCCAGAAAAUGGCAAACCUUAGGAGGAACUUCGACCGGGUGAAUAUGUUGCCAGUGGAAGUGAUGAUGGAAGAUGGUUUAUCUGGGACAAGAGAACUGGUAGACUAAUAAAAA
RNA transcript from Vitis vinifera (wine grape), 5825 nucleotides. It is a transcript of the gene named protein ALTERED SEED GERMINATION 2, with no coding region annotated. NCBI's taxonomy places the organism in Eukaryota, Viridiplantae, Streptophyta, Magnoliopsida, Vitales, Vitaceae. The record is from RefSeq and is a predicted model, not a curated record. The transcript has 16 exons.